UACGGAAGGUGCAAGCAUUAAUCGGAAUUAUUGGGCGUAAAGGGCGCGUAGGCGGUUAAGCAAGUCUGAUGUGAAAUUCCAAAGCUCAACUUUGGAGCUGCAUAAGAAACUGCAUAACUUGAGGAAAGGCGGAGAAAAUGGAAUUCCACGUGUAGCGGUGAAAUGUGUAGAUAUGUGGAAGAACACCGGUGGCGAAAGCGGUUUUCUAGCUUUUACCUGACGCUGAGGCGCGAGAGCAAGGGGAGCAAAC
RNAcentral lists this ribosomal RNA (250 nucleotides) under uncultured bacterium. RNAcentral describes it as "partial 16S ribosomal RNA". It matches the Rfam family "Bacterial small subunit ribosomal RNA", at positions 524 to 773 of the family's 1533-position model. The record is from RNAcentral.